GUUUAUUAACCACCACCAGAGGGCGUGUCAUGAUGUAUGUACAACUUCCUAGGUCAAAGGUCAAGGUAAAAAAACUUUGAUUUCAGUUGACAACCCUGUGUCCUGUGGUGAAGAUCGUGUCCGCUUUAUAUCUUGAGAACCGUUAUGAUUUCAAAGUUUAUACUUGACAUGUAUAUGAACCAACACCAGAGGGUGUGUCAUAAUUUAUGAACGACUUCCUAGGGCAAAGUUCAAGGUCAAAAACUUUGGUUUCAGUUGACAACCCCAUGUCUAUGGUAAAGAUUGUGUCCGCUC
This 294-nucleotide long non-coding RNA is filed under the name Mytilus galloprovincialis (Mediterranean mussel). The record is from RNAcentral. Lineage: Eukaryota; Metazoa; Mollusca; Bivalvia; Mytilida; Mytilidae.